RNAcentral lists this ribosomal RNA (468 nucleotides) under uncultured bacterium. Its description in RNAcentral is "partial 16S ribosomal RNA". It matches the Rfam family "Bacterial small subunit ribosomal RNA", at positions 28 to 507 of the family's 1533-position model. The record is from RNAcentral.
GACGAACGCUGGCGGCGUGCUUAACACAUGCAAGUCGAACGGAAAGGCCCUGCUUUUGUGGGGUGCUCGAGUGGCGAACGGGUGAGUAACACGUGAGUAACCUGCCCUUGACUUUGGGAUAACUUCAGGAAACUGGGGCUAAUACCGGAUAGGAGCUCCUGCUGCAUGGUGGGGGUUGGAAAGUUUCGGCGGUUGGGGAUGGACUCGCGGCUUAUCAGCUUGUUGGUGGGGUAGUGGCUUACCAAGGCUUUGACGGGUAGCCGGCCUGAGAGGGUGACCGGCCACAUUGGGACUGAGAUACGGCCCAGACUCCUACGGGAGGCAGCAGGGGGGAAUAUUGCACAAUGGGCGGAAGCCUGAGGCAGCAACGCCGCGGGCGGGAUGACGGCCUUCGGGUUGUAAACCGCUUUCGCCUGUGACGAAGCGUGAGUGACGGUAAUGGGUAAAGAAGCACCGGCUAACUACGUG